RNAcentral lists this ribosomal RNA (497 nucleotides) under uncultured bacterium. RNAcentral describes it as "partial 16S ribosomal RNA". It matches the Rfam family "Bacterial small subunit ribosomal RNA", at positions 28 to 507 of the family's 1533-position model. The record is from RNAcentral.
GAUGAACGCUGGCGGCGUGCCUAAUACAUGCAAGUCGAGCGAACGAACGAGACGCUUGCUUUUCUGAUGUUAGCGGCGGACGGGUGAGUAACACGUGGAUAACCUACAUAUAAGACUGGGAUAACUUCGGGAACCCGGAGCUAAUACCGGAUAAUAUUUUGAACCGCAUGGUUCAAAAGUGAAAGACGGACUAGCUGUCACUUAUAGAUGGAUCCGCGCUGCAUUAGCUAGUUGGUAAGGUAACGGCUUACCAAGGCAACGAUGCAUAGCCGACCUGAGAGGAUGAUCGGCCACACUGGAACUGAGACACGGUCCAGACUCCUACGGGAGGCAGCAGUAGGGAAUCUUCCGCAAUGGGCGAAAGCCUGACGCAGCAACGCCGCGUGAGUGAAGAAGGUCUUCGGAUCGUAAAGCUCUGUUAGUUGGGAGGAACAUAUGUGUAAGUAACUGUGCACAUCUUGACGUUACCUAAUCAGAAAGCCCCGGCUAACUACGUG